GCAAGUCGAACGGUAACAUUUCUAGCUUGCUAGAAGAUGACGAGUGGCGGACGGGUGAGUAAUGCUUGGGAACUUGCCUUUGCGAGGGGGAUAACAGUUGGAAACGACUGCUAAUACCGCAUAAUGUCUUCGGACCAAACGGGGCUUAGGCUCCGGCGCAAAAAGAGGCCCAAGUGAGAUUAGCUAGUUGGUAAGGUAACGGCUUACCAAGGCGACGAUCUCUAGCUGUUCUGAGAGGAAGAUCAGCCACACUGGGACUGAGACACGGCCCAGACUCCUACGGGAGGCAGCAGUGGGGAAUAUUGCACAAUGGGGGAAACCCUGAUGCAGCCAUGCCGCGUGUGUGAAGAAGGCCUUCGGGUUGUAAAGCACUUUCAGUUGUGAGGAAAAGUUAGUAGUUAAUACCUGCUAGCCGUGACGUUAACAACAGAAGAAGCACCGGCUAACUCCGUGCCAGCAGCCGCGGUAAUACGGAGGGUGCGAGCGUUAAUCGGAAUUACUGGGCGUAAAGCGCACGCAGGCGGUUUGUUAAGCUAGAUGUGAAAGCCCC
This 550-nucleotide ribosomal RNA is filed under the name uncultured bacterium. RNAcentral describes it as "bacterial SSU rRNA". It matches the Rfam family "Bacterial small subunit ribosomal RNA", at positions 57 to 604 of the family's 1533-position model. The record is from RNAcentral.